GUAUCUCGUUCCUUACCAAUCGAUAUAAUCAUUAAAAUAGCCGGUACCAGAAAUGCCAGAGAGAAGCAUUCGUCAUCGAAGCAUUCUGUCUCGCGUAGGACUGGAGUAAGCAAAGUGGAGAUCAGAGAACCCGUGUUAAUGGAGAAGUAGAAAAGGGAAAAGAACAUUGCCAAGUAUCGUUCCUGCUGAGGCAGGAUGAACUGAUCGCCUCCGAAAGCUGACACGCAAGGUUUUAUCCCGCCUGUGCCAAGCGCAAUCAGAAUUGCGUUUUAUACAUAUUCUGAUACCGACCUUGCGGGUAGUCCGAAAGGAGGUGUCGCACUUGCAGAUAAAAUCAGCUGUCCAAUCGCAUAAAUAAUGCUCACAUAAAAAAUGGUGCAAUACUUUCCGAGCCAGGAAUCAGACACGAUUGCGCCGAAUAGCGGGAAGAAAUAGACGAAACAGAUGAAGACAUGAUAGAUCAUUGUAGCUGUAUUUUCGCUGUACUUUAGCAUGUUACUCAAGUACAACGCCAGGAUGGCUGAAAAAUAAUUACGUAUCAAUCUACAGUCUAAUAAAGUGACAUUUAAUCAUAUUUAACAUUAACAUCAAAGCCGCUAAGUUUCUUAGUUCACCAAGAUUUCACUAUUAAAGAAUCAAGUAAAAAUUGACAUAUUAUCUUAUUCAAAAUAUAAAAAUACACUUAAAUGUAAUAUACAUUUAAAUAUAAAUACAAUAAUUU
Long non-coding RNA from Formica exsecta, 721 nucleotides. RefSeq lists it as uncharacterized. NCBI's taxonomy places the organism in Eukaryota, Metazoa, Arthropoda, Insecta, Hymenoptera, Formicidae. The transcript has 2 exons. The record is from RefSeq and is a predicted model, not a curated record.